RNAcentral lists this ribosomal RNA (846 nucleotides) under Triticum aestivum (bread wheat). RNAcentral's name for it is "partial small subunit ribosomal RNA". The record is from RNAcentral. Lineage: Eukaryota; Viridiplantae; Streptophyta; Magnoliopsida; Poales; Poaceae.
AUGACUGGUUCGAUCUAUGCGUUCGCGGAGCUGGACCGCUCAAUCACCGGGAAGGUGCGGUUCGCGGACGGAUCCGUGGUGGAGAUCCACGGGCGCGGGACCGUCGUCUUCGCCGACAAAGGGGGUGAUCACAGGGUGUUCACGGACGUCUACUUCAUCCUGGCGCUCACGAGCAGCGUCGUGAGUGUCGGACAACUCGACGAGGGCUGGUUCGACAUCGGCAUCCGGCGCGGUGUUCUCACCGUGCACGACCAGCAGAAGAGGCUGCUCAUCGAGGUUACCCGCUCGCCGAACCGCCUCUACAAAUUCUUCUUUCAACCCGCGCAUCCUGUGUGCCUUGCCGUGGGCCAUGUCUCCGACGCGUGGCGUUGGCAUGCCCGGCUAGGACACCAGCACUUCGACGGGUUGCGAAAGAUGGUGCGAGGCAACCUCGUUCGUGGGCUACCUCACAUCGAGCACGCCGACGAGCUGUGUGAUGCAUGUCUUGCGGGGAAGCAGCGGCGUCUGCCGUUUCCCGAGAAGGCAUGCUAUCGGGCGCAGAAACCCCUGGAGCUGGUUCACGGGGACCUCUGCGGCCCAAUCACCCCGGCAACGCCAGGAGGGCAUCGCUACAUCCUGCUGCUCAUCGACGACUAUAGCAGGUUCAUGUGGGUGCUGCUCCUCGCCUCCAAGGACGAGGCGGAGCAAGCCAUUGUCAAGCAGCAAGCGGCAGCAGAGGUCGAGUGCGGCCACAAGAUGCGCGUGCUGCGCACGGACCGUGGCGGCGAGUUCACGUCGGCCACGUUCUACAAGCACUGCGACGAGAAAGGGGUGCAACGUCACCUCACAGCCCCUUACUCGCCGUAG